Sus scrofa (pig) is the source of this 2387-nucleotide long non-coding RNA. RefSeq lists it as uncharacterized. The record is from RefSeq and is a predicted model, not a curated record. Lineage: Eukaryota; Metazoa; Chordata; Mammalia; Artiodactyla; Suidae.
CUUUUCAGAAGCCAUGAGGGGGCUCCAGGCCGUACAGCGGCGUGAAAGGCCGCAAAAUUAAGCCCCUGACUUAGGAUAGGUUGACUGGUCACAAAAAGAUGAACCCAAGGGCUCUUCUGAUACGCGUCCUGUGCCUACCAGUCACUGCACUUUUUUUUUUUUUUCAUUUCUUAAAAUUGUAUUCACCUAUAGUUGAUUCACAAGGUUGUGCUAUUUUCUGCUGUACAGCAAAGUAUUUUUUUUUCAUUUUUUUAAAGUUUUAUUGAAGUAUAGUUGAUUUAAGAUGUCAGUCACUGCACUUUCAAUGGCCACUUGUUGCUAGAAUUCUAGACAUCGCUCACUUUCAGUGGCAACUUGUUGGGAUUCUAGUCAGAACCAAGUUUUUGUGUUUGGAGGCGAUUGGGAAUCAAGCUUGUUCUUACCCACUCAGAAGCUACCACGGUUCUACAAAUAUGCAAUUACCCAUUUCAAGGAAGUUAGCCAUCCUGGGCUUUAUGAAGUAGGUGCUAACAAGUCACAGAACAUUCCAGGCAGAGGAAACAGUGUAUGUAUCGGCAAAGAGGCUGAAUGGACCUGAGUAUGAUUCCACAACAAUUGGAAAGUCUGGUCAAGUUGUGACUUCCUACUAUAGCAGAACACGGGAAAGAGAGAGGAUUCAUGUGGAGACGAUGCUUUGGGAAACUCUUGGUUUCAAACCCACCCUGCCAUUUAAUAGUGAGGCAACUCUGGAGAUUUAUUUAACUCUUCUAAGGCUUAGUCCCCACUUUUUUGAAUAAUGAUCUAAUAAUAUUUAUUUUCUAUAGUUAUUGUGAGAAUCGAAUGAGCUAAUAUGUAUACAGUGCUUAUGUCCUGGCCUUGUCCAGUUUCUAAACAUUAUUUAAGAUUAAAUAAAAAUUAUUUCUCUUUGUUGUUUGGUCCCUGCAGUUCUUGGAAAACAAACUGAUGACUGUGUUAUCUUUUAUCUCAACCUACUACAUCAUUAUUACACAUUCACAUGCUUGUAAAACCUGGACCUGUAGUAGAUCUGUUUAUAUCUGUUUCUAAAUAAGUGUUGUUUUCUCCCCUUCAGUGUUGCUGUAAACAGUGGCAAACAUGUAGCAUAUGUUUGAUUUUUUUUUUUUUACUGUUUCAUAAGAGAAGUCCAUACUCGCAUGUUCAAACAUAUACACACACACUCAGACACACACUGAAUGUCUUUCACAAACGUUUUGGUAUCCGAGAUCUGAACUGAGAACAUUAAAAUUCCCAUUUUUGGACCAUACUUAUAGUAAUAAUUUUGAUCCUUACAUUAUGGACUAAAUGUUUAUGUCCUGCCAAAUUCAUAUGUUGACAUCCUACCCCCAAUAUGAUGGUGUUAGGGGUGGGGGCUUUGGUAGGUGAUUAUGUCACGAGCAUGGAGCCCUCACGCAUGGGAUUAGUGCCCAUAUAAAAGCAGCCCCAGGGAUUUCUCUGGCCCUCUUGAGAAAAAGCCAUCUGUGAACAAAGAAGUAGACCCUCAUGAAAUACUAAAUCUGCUGGUGGCUUGAUCUUGGACUUCCUAGCUUCCAGAACUGUGAGAAACAAAUUUCUGUUGCUUAUGAGCUACCCAGACUAUGAUAUUUUUGUUAUGGAAGGCUGAACUGACUAAGAUGCUUUGCAGCUAUAUAGAAUUUUGCAGUUGUAAAAAUGAUAUAAAUUGAGAAAAGACACGAAAAAUCAUAUAUAUGUACAUAUAUCUAUAAAUAUUUGUUAUCUAUAUCUGUCUGUCUAUUUAUCUAUCUGUCUAUCUAUUUAGUGCCCCUGAUGUAGAGAGCACAGCAAGUGGAGAAUAAAGUAUUCAAAGAGAAAAAGUAUAGUUUCCUGAGAUGAACAGAAUCUACAAAUUUAAAGGAUACACCGUGUUGUAGGAAAAAAUUAACACAGAAGCAUAGAAGCAUGAAAUGACUCAACUCAUGACUUCAGUGAAUAAGCCUGUGUAUAUAUCUAGGCAAAAAACCCACAAGUCACUUCUAAUAGGAACAGGUAAAUAUGAGUUCAAGCUUCUUCAUAGUCCGGUCUAUGCCAGAAGUUGAUAGAGCAAUGUUUACAAAGCUCUAAGGAGAAAUGAAGGUGACCCAAGAAUUUUAUACCCAGCCAGAUUUCUGUGUAUGAAGGCAACCCACAAAUAGUCUCAAAUAUGCCAAGGCUUGGCUCAGGUAAGGCACGUACACUUAUUGAAAAAUCUACCCGAUGGUGACAUCCAGCCAGUGACGAGAUUUCUGAAUGACAAACUAAGGAAUAGAGAAAAUAGGAUGUAUCAGGAUUUCUCAUGUUGUCGAAUCUGUAUCAAUCUAGAAAAAGGCAGGCAAUACAGAUAUUGCAAAACAGGACUUACAUGUUGGAACAAGGAAGAAAAGCUGGCAGGCGGA